AGAUUGAAGCAGCUAUGGUCUAGUGCUGUGUGGAAGACUAGUGAUUUUGUUGUUCUGAUAUAAAAUGACAACAAAUCACAGCCUGCCUCAUAGCGUGGACUCCUGUCGAC
This 110-nucleotide microRNA precursor is filed under the name Procavia capensis (Cape rock hyrax). Its description in RNAcentral is "miRNA (ENSPCAG00000019370.1)". The stretch from base 16 to 102 matches the Rfam family "mir-7 microRNA precursor family". Rfam says of the family: This family represents the microRNA (miRNA) precursor mir-7. In this case the mature sequence comes from the 5' arm of the precursor. Lineage: Eukaryota; Metazoa; Chordata; Mammalia; Hyracoidea; Procaviidae. The record is from RNAcentral.